RNAcentral lists this ribosomal RNA (3534 nucleotides) under Triticum aestivum (bread wheat). Its description in RNAcentral is "partial small subunit ribosomal RNA". Lineage: Eukaryota; Viridiplantae; Streptophyta; Magnoliopsida; Poales; Poaceae. The record is from RNAcentral.
AUGGCCUUGAGCGGCGAGUCCUCCUCCUUGCCGGCGAAGAGCUCGGGCGAAGAUGCGGUCGAAGAGCUCGCCGCCCUCGCACAACUCCAUCACCAGGUGCACGCCCUCGGCGUCCUUGCAGGCCUCGCGGAGCCGCACCACGGCGCCGCCUGCGCCCUCCAGCGCCGACAUGCGCCGCCGGAUCUCCACCUCCCGCUGCAUGUCCUCGGCGUCGGCGGCGCGACGCAGCCGCUUGCGGCGGGUGGUCUUGCAGGUCAGCGCCUCGCCCGUGGCCGCGUGCUCGCAGCGACGCGUCACCCCGAACUCCCCGCGCCCCAGCUCCGCGCCCAGCCGAUACCGCUUGGCGAAGCCCUCCCCGCCGGGCGCGCACUGGUCGUCGUCGCCCAGGGUCGACCUGCGCUUCUUCUUGCAGCAGCAGCUGCCGCUGUUGGCGUCGCUGUCGGGGGGCAGUCGGCGGCGCUGGCCACGGGCAUGAUGGCGGCGGCGGCGCGCCUCCGGGCCAGCAUCCUGGAGGCCGCGAUGACAGAAGGGAGGCACCUGCGUCUCUCAGCUAAUCAGGGGUUUGAAGAGAGACAGUGGUUAAAUAACGAAGAAACCAGUGCUAUGAUGCUCAACCCGCAGAUCUUCAGAAACCCACAUGGUGUGUUACUCGAUGAUCAAGCAUUUACUGUGGACUGUUAUUCCCUGCUGGUUGAUACGGAUGAGUAUGAUGGAAUGAUGGCACGUUCUGGCCCCAGAGCUCAGCAGCAGCAGUUCUGGCCUUACUAUGGUUCAGUUGAUCAUCAUAAUCCCAUGAAGCGGGAAUAUUUUGCUGGCAUAAGCAAGAAUCUUGCUGCACACAGAGGCUCUGACAAUGAAGAAAUCAUCUGCAAGAAGUAUGAAGUGAAAGGUGCAUACAGGUGCCGCCGGCGAACAAUCCUGCCAGAUAACCUUUUUGCUGUAACCGGCAUUCACCCCCCUGUCCCUAAUAUGAUGGCCGACUUCCUCCUUGCAUCUUCAAGAGAGGCUAUUCUGUUUGACAGUCCGUGGAACAAGGGGAUUCUGGUCUUUAGGCCUGGCAUCAAAAACAAGAUUCUUGUCGAGGAUAUAGUACCAUGUGAGUCUCAUAGUUCACAGAAAAUAUUUUGCAAACCUGGUGAGGUUGGACGGCUGAAACCGGCCUUUUGGAGUAUUCUCAGCAAGGCAUGGGAAUCUGGAGUUGACCUGAAGGAUCUCUCAACUCAUGGCAGCUACAUCCUCAGCUCUCAUUUUGACAAGUCCACGUAUAAUACCGUGCUAUCAUUUCUUGGUGUUAGAAGUGUGAGCACCGAGUGGGAGGAACUCAAGGCGAUCGGAGUUAGAUUUGAAUUUCAGGAGGCAUCAGCGUACAUCGGCAGCCGCCUCAUGUCUAUGGCUGCAAGCAAUACGCUGAUCAGAGAGAAUGUGUACUCACUCCUUCGGCUGAUUCGGUUUCUUCAAGAGAAAGUUCUAUCUCCAAGCGAACUCAUCAACAGUGUCAAAGAUGGACAGUGGAUGAAGAGUACUCUCGGCUACAGGUCUCCAAUUGGUUGUAUCAUCUAUGAUUCAGGCUGGGCAGUUGCAUCCUGUAUCAGUAGCCAGCCGUUCCUUGAUGUCAAGUUCUAUGGCGACGACAUCCUUACCUACAAACCACAGCUCAACUUUCUCGGUGUUCUUGUUGAAUUUAAAGACAGCUACAAACUUGUGAUUGAUAAUUUCAAGUUCAGUUCGGCUGCUAUUACUCCUGAGGCUACUGUGCUAAUCCUCAAAUGUAUCCAGCAUGUGAACUCAUGUGAUGCCUUCAUAAGGAAGAUCAAAGAUUUAAAAUGGGUGAAGACCAGUGUGGGGUUCCGUGCUCCUAAUGAAUCUUUUCUUGUGGAUCCUCGAUGGGAGUGCCUUCUAAAGGUCUUUGAUGGGGUUCCUGUAGUUGAUUUCAGAUUUGAUGGGAGUAAGAUUAGUCCCUACAAAACAGAGUUGGAGAAGACCGGGUUGAUAACAAAAUUGGAGGCGGCAUCAAAGGCUAUAGCUCACUUGUUCAAGCAGAUGGUUCUGAACUCAUCACUUCCAAAGGCGAGUGUCCUAGCCCUGCUAGCAUGUUAUCUGCAGCUGAAAACACAGGGCGCACUCCCUGUCGAGCUUUUCAGUUGCAUGCUGAAUGAGAAGUGGUUGCGUACAUCGUUCGGUUUCAGAUCUCCCAAAGAUGCAAUCUUGUUCAAUGCAGAAUGGCAGUGUCUAUCAUCAGUAGCAGACUUACCUUUCAUAGAUGACGGUGACUCUCACCAAGGUUUAAGCAAAGAAAUACAUGGUUAUAAAGAUGAGCUCAAGAAUUUAGGUGUUACUACUGAAGUGAAAGCUGGUGCUAGGUUUGUCAUCAAUGGCAUCAACAUUCCCAAGGAUCCUUUACACUUGUCUGGAGCUAGUGUCUUGUCAUUGCUCAGGUCCAUUCGGAGCUGGUUGGCUUCUUCAAGUAACUUCCCAAAGGGCUUUCUAGAGAAAAUCAAAGGAUGCAGUUGGUUGAGGACAAAAGUGGGGUUCCAAUGUCCUGAUGAGUCGAUCCUGUUUGAUCCAAAGAAUUCUCCCAUUCGCAUAGAAGAUAGCCCUUUCAUUGAUGAAGCAUUCUAUGGCUCAGAGAUAGCCUCAUUCAGAGACGCCCUUGCGGCAAUCGGAGUAUCUGUGGAUGUUAGACACGGACAUGAGCUUGUUGCUCGACAUCUGAAAAGCCACAGAAACAGGGCUACUAUUUCUCGUAUUUACACGUACCUUAAGGAGUGCAAUUGGGAGCCUGCAAACAAGACGAGUGAUUGGAUCUGGAUACCAAAUAAAAAGAAUAGUGGAGAGUGGUUCAUUGCCAAGAACUGGAGCAAAAACACGGAGAAGCUUCUUUCUGCUUGUGUCAAGGUUCUGGUUUGUACCGAUGGAACUAUCGUUCUGUCAAAGAAAGAGGAUGUGUUUAUUCCUGAUGAUCUACUUCUCAAGGAUUUGUUCGACAAGCUUCCUAACCGGUCAUUGUUCAUAUGGUAUCCAUCUUCAAGCCUGUCUUCCAUGUCUCAAGCAAAGCUGAACAACAUCUACGGUAGCAUUGGAGUCCAAGCAAUAUCCAAAGCUGUUGGGAAGAAUGAUUCACUCACAUUGGAAAAUGUCAGCCCAAGAAAAGCUGCUCUGGGUAAGGUCAUCAAUGUUGGUAUGAUAAAACUGGUCCUUGCUUUUCUUGCCGAUCCUGCUCUCGACAUUUCUGCUGAAGGGCGGCACAAGAUAGUUUCCUGCCUGCUCAAUGUGACGGUGCUAGAGACCAGUGAGCCAAUCACGGUGGGAUACAACGUGAAGCUGUCCUCUGGGGCCGUUUUGGAUGUGAAGGCCACACGGAAGCUCCGGUGGGAGAGGGAGAGCUCGAAACUGUACAUGCAGAAAAGCAAGCGUGCACCAGGCUACAAGGAGAAGUUGGAGUUCGCAACGAACUUUGCGGAUGAGAUAUCCCAGGACCCAGGGGCUGCUCUUCGAGAAGGCAGAUCAGACCCCUUUGCUCACGGAGCUCAUUAA